RNAcentral lists this unclassified non-coding RNA (1281 nucleotides) under Hevea brasiliensis (rubber tree). Lineage: Eukaryota; Viridiplantae; Streptophyta; Magnoliopsida; Malpighiales; Euphorbiaceae. The record is from RNAcentral.
UGGCCAUCGGAAGCCUAUCCACAACUGUUCUCUUCCUCUCCACCUUCUUCUACAUGGUAUUAGGAGAUGAUGCGGUUGGGAAUUCAGGGCAGUACCCUCUGGUCGUGAGCACCUGGCCCUUCAUAGAAGCUGUUAAAGCUGCAUGGCGGGCUGUUGAUGGUGGGCUUUCUGCCGUGGACGCUGUUGUGGAGGGAUGUUCGACUUGUGAGGAGCUCAGAUGUGAUGGUACAGUAGGACCUGGUGGAAGUCCAGAUGAGAAUGGAGAAACUACAAUUGAUGCCAUGGUCAUGAAUGGGGUUACAAUGGAGGUUGGGGCUGUUGCUGCAAUGAGAUAUGUGAAAGAUGGCAUCAGAGCUGCAAGAUUAGUGAUGCAGCAUACAGAGCACACUUUGCUUGUUGGGAAGCAAGCGUCAGUCUUUGCCAUUUCAAUGGGUCUCCCUGGACCUACAAAUCUUAGUUCAUCAGAUUCCUUGGAGAAAUGGACUAAAUGGAAAGCAAAUCACUGCCAACCAAACUUUCGGAAAAAUGUUGUGCCUGUUGAUAGCUGUGGCCCUUAUCAUCCAAAGGGCAUAAUGGAUGUCAAUGAGGGGGAAUGUUCCAAAACCAACCUGAUGGGAGUUGCUGAACCAAGAUCAUCUCAUAUUGGUCCUCACAACCAUGACACCAUAUCGAUGGCUGUUAUUGAUAAAAUGGGGCGUGUAGCUGUUGGUGCAUCAACUAAUGGAGCCACAUAUAAGAUCCCUGGCAGAGUGGGUGAUGGACCAAUUGCAGGAUCUUCAGCAUAUGCUGACAGUGAUGUUGGUGCUUGUGGUGCAACCGGGGAUGGUGACAUCAUGAUGCGCUUCCUUCCAUGCUAUCAGGUUGUGGAGAGUAUGAGAUUGGGCGUGGAGCCAAGAAUUGCUGCCAAGGAUGCAAUAUCUCGGAUUGCAAGAAAAUUUCCAGAUUUUGUGGGAGCUGUGUUUGCCGUGAAUAAGAGUGGCGUGCAUGCUGGUGCUUGUCAUGGAUGGACAUUUCAGUACUCGGUGAGGAGUCCAGAAAUGGAUGAUGUGGAGGUUUUCACUGUAUUCCCCUGAACCAAAAGUAGGAACUCAUUGCAAACUAAUUUAAUUCUUCUGGAGAUCCAAUACCAUAAAUUUUGUCCAAUGUCAUUGUCUCGGUGCUUCUUUUUCAGAAAUUAUUUUGAUAAUUUUGUGCGCAUGUAUGAUGUUUCCAUACUUUUGACAAUUGGGAGAAUGUUGUGCAAAGGUCGUUGGCAUAUAUAAGAAAUGAUUGUAAUGAGUU